Molecule: ribosomal RNA, 459 nt
Filed under: uncultured bacterium
Lineage: Bacteria
Description: partial 16S ribosomal RNA
Rfam family: Bacterial small subunit ribosomal RNA
Source: RNAcentral
CCUACGGGUGGCAGCAGUGAGGAAUAUUGGUCAAUGGCCGUAAGUCUGAACCAGCCAAGUCGCGUGAAGGAAGAAUGAUCUAUGGUUUGUAAACUUCUUUUAUAGGGGAAUAAAGGUAUCCACGUGUGCAUAUUUGCAUGUACCCUAUGAAUAAGCAUCGGCUAACUCCGUGCCAGCAGCCGCGGUAAUACGGAGGAUGCGAGCGUUAUCCGGAGUGAUUGGGCGUAAAGGGUGCGUAGGCGGCCUGCUAAGUCUGUGGUGAAAGGUACGGGCUAAACCGGAAAUGGCAAUUGAAACUGGCGGUCUAGAGGACAGGUGAGGUCGGUGGAAUUCGAUGUGUAGCGGUAAAAUGCGUAGAUAUAUGGAAGAACACCGAUGGCGAAGGCAGCCGCCUGGCCUGUUACUGACGUUGAGGCACGAAAGCGUGGGGAGCAAAUAGGAUUAGAUACCCCAGUAGUC